RNAcentral lists this ribosomal RNA (468 nucleotides) under uncultured bacterium. RNAcentral describes it as "partial 16S ribosomal RNA". It matches the Rfam family "Bacterial small subunit ribosomal RNA", at positions 28 to 507 of the family's 1533-position model. The record is from RNAcentral.
GAUGAACGCUGGCGGCGUGCUUAACACAUGCAAGUCGAACGGAAAGGCCAGUGCUUGCACUGGUACUCGAGUGGCGAACGGGUGAGUAACACGUGGGUGAUCUGCCCUGCACUUCGGGAUAAGCCUGGGAAACUGGGUCUAAUACCGGAUAGGACAAUGGUUUGGAUGCCGUUGUGGAAAGUUUUUUCGGUGUGGGAUGAGCUCGCGGCCUAUCAGCUUGUUGGUGGGGUAAUGGCCUACCAAGGCGUCGACGGGUAGCCGGCCUGAGAGGGUGUACGGCCACAUUGGGACUGAGAUACGGCCCAGACUCCUACGGGAGGCAGCAGUGGGGAAUAUUGCACAAUGGGCGCAAGCCUGGUGCAGCGACGCCGCGUGGGGGAUGACGGCCUUCGGGUUGUAAACUCCUUUCGCUAGGGACGAAGCGUAUUUGUGACGGUACCUGGAGAAGAAGCACCGGCUAACUACGUG